UGAACAUGAGAAGCCGGUCUUGCCGCUGACCUUUAGAGCCUUGUGUAAAACAUUGGUUGAAUUUAGUGUCCAGGUGCCAGCUUUUGAAGGAGCCCGUCGGAUCGGAUGUGAACUGCCUUUGAGGAUCCAGAGAUGCCGAAACACCCUCCAGUUUGAAAGAAGAAGAAAGUCAUUCUAAGUCUGACAUUUGAAGCUAGAAAAGGAAUACAUUUCUGUGAGAUAUGAACCUGUUCUCUUUACUGAAUAAUUCUCUUUCUACAAAACGCUUUCUGGAGCUUGAACUCCAUUAUGCAUAUGGCACAUGUCAACAUUUGUAUGUAUAAAUGUUUUGUGAACUUGUUUGUGAACUGUAUAUACAUUUACAUAUUUAUGUACUCCUUCUUUUGUGAACUGUAUAUGAAUUUGCACUUGCUAUUAUCUUAAUCUCAAAUCACCAAAGGUGUUUUUGGAGAAAAAAAGGAGCAGCAUUUGAUGAAAAGUACCCCUUAGGCAUGUGGGUGAAUAUAUUCUGGUUUGGGAUUUUUCUACCAGCGAGUAGCACAGGAAGCAUAUAAAUGAAGGGACGAAUGGAUUACACUAAUUUUCAGCAAUGUCAGAAGGCAAAUGUCAUGCAGUCAGUCAAGAAACUGAAGCCUACAAGUUGUUGGUUUUCACAACAGGAUUCAAAGUAUACCUCCAAAUACACAAUCAAGUACUUCAAGAAAUGCUUCAAGAAACAGUUGCUUUUUGAAUGCCCUGCAGUCCCCAAACUGUUUGAAAAUCUGUUUCCCCAAAAUGUUUGAAAAUCUGUUGGUAAACUGAAACAUGAUGCAUAUGCAAUAUGUAUAUGUAUCUCAGAACAGUGAUGUGAUGUGCAAGGAAGAGUGGGUGAAAUCUCAUAAAAUCAAGAAUUAAGAGACUUUUAGUGCCCAACAGAAAUCAUUUGCGAGCUGUGAUAUCUGCUUAAGGAGUCUUACUAAGUGCUGAUUCAGUAGGGUGUUCAAACCUUUGCCCAGGCCCCAAUGUCAUCUUAUGUGUAGCGCCAUCGUUUGUUAUUCAAGUGGCCAAACCCGGGGACUGCAUCAGAACACGAACAACGGUCUGGAUUUGGAAAAGUUAAACGUAGAGAACCUUUGGUAUUGAGGAAAAGCUUGUACAGAAAAUGAGCUUUGUGAGUGACCAAAGGGCCCUGACUGCCAUGAUGCCAUUAAAUGAAAAGGGAAAAAGUGAAGAGUGAACACUAAAGAUGCAGAGAGAAGGAAAAGAAGAGAGUAUAGCCAUGUCUACCCGCCAUUCCAGUUUGCCCUGUUUGACCGCAUCUAUCCACUGUGUUUCACCCAGCUGUGGCUUUGGAGAGAAGCAAGUACUCAGCCAUAUAGAGCCUGAGGGAGGCUUGAAUUGAACUUGAAUGUGGACUUUGAUGCCUACCAAGAGUUGUAUGAAACUAUUCCUGGGAUCUUCAUUGUUCACAAGUUUUCUUCUUCAGUUUCACAAUGAACGCUGUUUUUGUCAUGAAGAUAGACUGUUAAAAUGAGGUAAUAAUGUAAGGGACGGGAUGGUGUUCAUGAUUAUGAUGAUUAUAAUUAUGCUGUUGCUGAUGCUGAUGAUUAGGAUGGUGUUGAAGCACUAAGGAUGUCCAUGAAAAACAAAACCUCUUCAUGCCCCGAUGAGACUGUAUUAAUCGGUGGCACAUGUUCAUCCAUAAUUACCAUUACAGCCAUUAUGCUCACAUAUUCCCCAUUCCACGUGGGUAAAUAUGCCAAGAGCACCAAAACAUCUGCUGCACAUUGUAUUCAGUGCACAUAGCUGACAGUGAUGUAAUCCUCUUCGCUGCCAUUAUAACACAUGUGAUAUAACCUUGUUGAUAAAAUGCGUCCUUUUUGUAAAAAAUCUACACGAGGAGCAGAGAAAUAAAUGUCCCUGAUGGAACAGAGAGAGACACCUGUGGAGAAAGAAAGAGAGAUACGAGGCCGAUAACCAGGAGGCUACAGCAGGCAGUGCACGGGAAAGCAUCAGCACGGAUAAUCUUGCGGUCACAAAAUAUCGGAAAUGUGUGAUGCAUGGUCCGUUUUUCAAGGAUGGGAAAUG
This is a long non-coding RNA of Clupea harengus (Atlantic herring), 2067 nucleotides long. Lineage: Eukaryota; Metazoa; Chordata; Actinopteri; Clupeiformes; Clupeidae. The record is from Ensembl.